CCUACGGGAGGCAGCAGUGAGGAAUAUUGGUCAAUGGCCGGAAGUCUGAACCAGCCAAGCAGCGUGAAGGACGAAGGUGCCAAGGAUUGUAAACUUCUUUUGUCAAGGGACAAAAUGAGGCUCGAGUGCCUGACCGCGGGUACUUGAAGAAAAAGCAUCGGCUAACUCCGUGCCAGCAGCCGCGGUAAUACGGAGGAUGCGAGCGUUAUCCGGAUUUAUUGGGUUAAAGGGGUGCGUAGGAGGGCUUUUAAGUCAGCGGUAAAAGCCCGGGGCUCAACCCAGGCUAGCCGUUGAAACUGGCUGUCUUGAGAUGUCGAGAGGUAUGCGGAAUGCGCAGUGUAGCGGUGAAAUGCUUAGAUAUUGCGCAGAACUCCGAUUGCGAAGGCAGCAUACCGGCGGGUAUCUGACGCUGAGGCACGAAAGCGUGGGUAUCGAACAGGAUUAGAUACCCCAGUAGUC
This 459-nucleotide ribosomal RNA is filed under the name uncultured bacterium. Its description in RNAcentral is "partial 16S ribosomal RNA". It matches the Rfam family "Bacterial small subunit ribosomal RNA", at positions 338 to 795 of the family's 1533-position model. The record is from RNAcentral.